AGCAUGGCUUGGUAGCGUUGGAAUUAGCAUUACAUUAUUUUUGUCGCCCAUUAUUUCUACAAUUUGUCAACGAAAAAGUGCUAGGAUUUACGCCGUCAUCGGUGGCCUUAUUUGUGCAUUGGGGUGCCUAUUCUUGGCUUUUUCAAAUCAAAUGGAGCAGGUUUUCAUCAGCCAUUGUGUUGUUUUGUCUCCCGGAAGUGGAAUUACUCUCAACACAGCAAACAUCAUUAUUGGCCGUUACUUUCGGAAGAAGCGAGAAUUAGCUGAGAUGAUAAUGUUAUCUGGAACAGGACUCGGAGCGGCUUUGUUAGCAGUUCUUUUUAGAGAGCUAUAUUGGUACGUACAAAAAAUACUCAAACAUUUUACUUGCUCGAUUACAUUUUUUUAAAGGUUUAAUAAUUAUUAUAGCUCUUACUGUCUAUAUGUGGUUGAGUUCAGAAAUCAGUACCAAUGUAUUUGGAAGACAAGUAUCUCAAAGUUCUCUUCAAUAAAAAAAUCAAUCUGUUAUCACUUUAACUCAAAAUUGGAACCUCAUUUUGAAAUUCUUGUAUACAAAUAAUAUAAUUUGACAGGAUAUUUGUUAUUUUAGGAAAUUAGAAUGGAGAUAUGCAUUACAGUGUAUUGCUGGCCUUCUAGUGUUGACAAUAUUGGCAGGAUCCCUCUACAGAUCAGCUUCCAU
RNAcentral lists this long non-coding RNA (679 nucleotides) under Mytilus galloprovincialis (Mediterranean mussel). Lineage: Eukaryota; Metazoa; Mollusca; Bivalvia; Mytilida; Mytilidae. The record is from RNAcentral.